Molecule: ribosomal RNA, 456 nt
Filed under: uncultured bacterium
Lineage: Bacteria
Description: bacterial SSU rRNA
Rfam family: Bacterial small subunit ribosomal RNA
Source: RNAcentral
AAUCAACGCUGGCGGCGUGCCUAACACAUGCAAGUCGAACGGUGACGAGGAGCUUGCUCCUCCGAUCAGUGGCGAACGGGUGAGUAACACGUGAGUAACCUGCCCCAGACUCUGGAAUAACAGUUGGAAACAGCUGCUAAUACCGGAUACGAGACGGAGAGGCAUCUCUACCGUCUGGAAAGUUUUUCGGUCUGGGAUGGACUCGCGGCCUAUCAGCUUGUUGGUGAGGUAAUGGCUCACCAAGGCGACGACGGGUAGCCGGCCUGAGAGGGCGACCGGCCACACUGGGACUGAGACACGGCCCAGACUCCUACGGGAGGCAGCAGUGGGGAAUAUUGCACAAUGGGCGCAAGCCUGAUGCAGCAACGCCGCGUGAGGGAUGACGGCCUGGUUGUAAACGUCUUCUAGUAGGGAAGAAGCGAAAGUGACGGUACCGUACAGAAGAAGACACCGGCU